AGUGAACGCUGGCGGCAGGCCUAACACAUGCAAGUCGAACGGCAGCACGGCAGUAGCAAUACUGUGGGUGGCGAGUGGCGGACGGGUGAGGAAUACAUCGGGAUCUACCCUGUUGUGGGGGAUAACGUAGGGAAACUUACGCUAAUACCGCAUAAGAACUGAGGUUGAAAGCGGCGGACCGCAAGGCGUCGCGCGAUUGGAUGAACCGAUGUCCGAUUAGCUAGUUGGCGGGGUAAAGGCCCACCAAGGCGACGAUCGGUAGCUGGUCUGAGAGGACGACCAGCCACACUGGAACUGAGACACGGUCCAGACUCCUACGGGAGGCAGCAGUGGGGAAUAUUGGACAAUGGGCGCAAGCCUGAUCCAGCCAUGCCGCGUGGGUGGAAGAAGGCCUCGGUUGGUAAGUACCGUUU
Molecule: ribosomal RNA, 413 nt
Filed under: uncultured bacterium
Lineage: Bacteria
Description: bacterial SSU rRNA
Rfam family: Bacterial small subunit ribosomal RNA
Source: RNAcentral